Conger conger (European conger) is the source of this 1104-nucleotide long non-coding RNA. RefSeq lists it as uncharacterized. NCBI's taxonomy places the organism in Eukaryota, Metazoa, Chordata, Actinopteri, Anguilliformes, Congridae. The transcript is spliced from 4 exons. The record is from RefSeq and is a predicted model, not a curated record.
GUCUAACUUUACAGGCGCCAACUUUCAAGCUGUAGCCCACUGGUCUCGGUUUUGCAAAAACAUAUCGUGCUACUUCUGGCAAACAGAGAUGUCUGAAGUUAAUAUACCUCUGGAUCUCAGCGCUGCAGAAAUUUUGGAACGUAAACAGCUGCAGCAGGAACUUCUGGCGUUGCGAAGAAUACGGUCAUCCCUGCAUACCGUCGAACGUAUGGUGGGGUGUUUCAGCCAGAAUGUUCAACUGGCAAUUAAGAAUGGCGAUGCGCUAGCAGACCUUAACCAAGGAUGGAAUGUUUUCUUCACUGGGAAAAAAUGAACAGUAAAUCCAGUACCAUAAGAUCUCAUCCCAUACACAGUAUUUCAAGGAACAAAGAAUGCAGUAAAUCUUCUUACAAGUGUAUUUAUAUGAAACAUGAAUAUGUGCAUUUCAUUAUGUUUUCUGUCUCUAAAGAAAUCCACAUUUCUGUAUAUAUUUCUAAAGUUAAUUCAAUGAAGAAAUGUUAAAAUAUGAAGAAACAAAUAUUAAGUACAAUGUCAGCUACAUUAAUGAUUAAAAAUGUUGUUGGAACUUCCCCUCUUACCCACAGCAAAGCCUUACAAUCUGCAGGUUCAUAAUUUUGUUACAACAUGUAAGAAUAUCCCCAAUGCAAGCGUUUCACAAGGACCAGCAUCUGGUGAUGUCUAUGGGUCACAGACUUCAGUCAGUCAUGGAAUACAAAGGAUUUGCAACCAAAUAUUAAAUAUUAUGACUUUCAGAUAAUGUUCAGUUGUCCAAUUACUCAAAUCCAAUGUGCUCAUUGUUGCAACCACUGCUGUGAAUUGGGAAAAGUUCAGAUUAGCAUAUGCUGUUCUCCAAAGUGAUAUCAGCUGCAGCUUCUUAUAACCCAGGCUCACACAGACAUGAAUCAGAGGAAGACACAUGCUGUGCGGCUGAACAGGUGGAAUUGUGGGCAUCUGAUCAACCAGCAAGGGUCACUGGACAAAAACCCUCCCUUCCCUGGUUCAUGCAAGAGCCAGUUGCGCACUACCUUGCCUGGCUACAGCUGAAGUCGUCACUGGCAUGGUCUGGAUGCUAUGCCAGCCUGUGGGCCCCACCCGUGUACUAGA